GAUGAACGCUGGCGGCGUGCCUAAUACAUGCAAGUCGAGCGAACAGACGAGGAGCUUGCUCCUCUGACGUUAGCGGCGGACGGGUGAGUAACACGUGGAUAACCUACCUAUAAGACUGGGAUAACUUCGGGAAACCGGAGCUAAUACCGGAUAAUAUAUUGAACCGCAUGGUUCAAUAGUGAAAGACGGUUUUGCUGUCACUUAUAGAUGGAUCCGCGCCGCAUUAGCUAGUUGGUAAGGUAACGGCUUACCAAGGCAACGAUGCGUAGCCGACCUGAGAGGGGGAUCGGCCACGCUGGAACUGAGACCCGGCCCAGACUCCGAGGGGGGGCAGCAGUAGGGAAUCUUCCGAAAUGGGCGAAAGCCUGACGGAGCAACGCCGGGUGAGUGAUGAAGGUCUUCGGAUCGUAAAACUCUGUUAUUAGGGAAAAAAAAAUGUGUAAGUAACUAUGCCCGUCUUGACAGUCCCAAAUCAGAAAGCCACGGCUAACUACGU
RNAcentral lists this ribosomal RNA (496 nucleotides) under uncultured bacterium. RNAcentral's name for it is "partial 16S ribosomal RNA". It matches the Rfam family "Bacterial small subunit ribosomal RNA", at positions 28 to 506 of the family's 1533-position model. The record is from RNAcentral.